AUAUGGCUGGAAAAGUUGGUAAACACAAAGGAAGUGCUGCUGAAAAUUUUUCGCAGGAAACCUUGAGCAGUCUUGAGAACUCUAUUAUAUCUCGGUGUAGAAAAGUUAGAAUUGAGUUCCGUUUAUUGCAUUUGAAAGUAGAUUCACAGUAUUUUGUACCAUGAAAAUUUUAGAAAUUUUCUCAAUUCCUAUGAAUAUCUGUAAUUUUCCAAAGUUGACUGAAUUUCCAUUCC
Molecule: long non-coding RNA, 233 nt
Filed under: Coffea arabica (coffee)
Lineage: Eukaryota; Viridiplantae; Streptophyta; Magnoliopsida; Gentianales; Rubiaceae
Description: long non-coding RNA (CARA_LNC004217)
Source: RNAcentral